AUUGAACGCUGGCGGCAUGCCUAACACAUGCAAGUCGAGCGGCAGCAGGGUCUUGCCUCCUGGAUACAGCGGCGGUCGGGUGAGUGAUGCCUACGAGUCGGCCUAUUCCUGGGGGAUGACGUCCAGAAGCGGGCACUCAUACCGCAUACGUCCAGUGGCAGAAGGUGAGGGAUCGUGAGAUCUCGCGCUGUCGCAUGAGCCUAGGCCGGAUUAGCUAGUUGGUGGGGUAAAGGCCUACCAAGGCGACGAUCCGUAACUGGUCUGAGAGGAUGAUCAGUCACACUGGAACUGAGACACGGUCCAGACUCCUACGGGAGGCAGCAGUGGGGAAUAUUGGACAAUGGGCGAAAGCCUGAUCCAGCAAUGCCGCGUGUGUGAAGAAGGUCUUCGGAUUGUAAAGCACUUUAAGUGGGGAGGAAGGGUAGUAAGUUAAGAGCUGGCUGUCUUGACGUUACCCACAGAAGAAGCACCGGCUAACUCCGUG
RNAcentral lists this ribosomal RNA (484 nucleotides) under uncultured bacterium. Its description in RNAcentral is "partial 16S ribosomal RNA". It matches the Rfam family "Bacterial small subunit ribosomal RNA", at positions 30 to 507 of the family's 1533-position model. The record is from RNAcentral.